AUUGACCGCUGGCGGCCGGCCUAACACAUGCAAGUCGAGCGAGCGGCGGCCGGGUGAGUAAUGUAUGGGGACUGCCCGAUAGAGGGGGAUAACUACUGGAAACGGUAGCUCAUACCGCAUACUAUCGGAUAACCCAUAUGGCUUAGCGAGUAGGUGAGGUAAUGGCUCACCUAGGCGACGAUCACGAGCUGGUCUGAGAGGAUGAGCAGCCACACUGGGACUGAGACACGGCCCAGACUCCUACGGAGGCAGCAGGGGGGAAGAUUGCAAAAUGGGCGCAAUCCUGAUGCAGCCAGGCCGAGUGUAUGAAGAAGGCCCUAGGGUUGUAAAGUACUUUCAGUCGGGAGGCGUUACCGACAGAAGAAGCACCGGCUAACUCCGUGCCAGCAGCCGCGGUAAUAC
This 402-nucleotide ribosomal RNA is filed under the name uncultured bacterium. Its description in RNAcentral is "partial 16S ribosomal RNA". It matches the Rfam family "Bacterial small subunit ribosomal RNA", at positions 30 to 526 of the family's 1533-position model. The record is from RNAcentral.